UAAUACGUAGGGUGCAAGCGUUAAUCGGAAUUACUGGGCGUAAAGCGUGUGUAGGCGGUUCGGAAAGAAAGAUGUGAAAUCCCAGGGCUCAACCUUGGAACUGCAUUUUUAACUGCCGAGCUAGAGUAUGUCAGAGGGGGGUAGAAUUCCACGUGUAGCAGUGAAAUGCGUAGAUAUGUGGAGGAAUACCGAUGGCGAAGGCAGCCCCCUGGGAUAAUACUGACGCUCAGACACGAAAGCGUGGGGAGCAAACAGGAUUAGAUACCCUGGUAGUCCACGCCCUAAACGAUGUCAACUAGCUGUUGGGGCCGUUAGGCCUUAGUAGCGCAGCUAACGCGUGAAGUUGACCGCCUGGGGAGUACGGUCGCAAGAUUA
This 375-nucleotide ribosomal RNA is filed under the name uncultured bacterium. RNAcentral describes it as "bacterial SSU rRNA". It matches the Rfam family "Bacterial small subunit ribosomal RNA", at positions 521 to 896 of the family's 1533-position model. The record is from RNAcentral.